GCUGGAGUGCAGUGGUGUGAUCCUGGCUCACUGCAAGCUCUGCCUCCCUGUUCACGCCAUCCUCCUGCCUCAGCCUCCUGAGUAGCUGGGACUACAGGUGGCCGCCACCACACCUGGCUAAUUGUUUUUUGUUGUUGUUGUUGGUUGUUUGUUUUUAGUAGAGAUGGGGUUUCACCGUGUUAGCCAGGAUGGUCUUGAUCUCCUGACCUCGUGAUCCACCCCCCUCGGCCUCCCAAAGUGCUGGGAUUACAGGCAUGAGCCACUGCACCCGGCCUGAAUAAUAUUUUAAAUGUAUAAAAUAAAACAUUUUUAUAUAUUUGGUGUAUCUAGAAUUGGUAUAAAAGGAAACAAAUUAUAACAAAAUAUGUCAUCAAAAUAUUUUAAAAGUUACCCUAUAGUAAAAUACAUACUUUUAAUUAACACAUUAAAUAAUGAGAUCAAUCAGUGAGCAUAGUAACUACAGUUACUUCAAAGAAGUCAUGCCCAUACUUAUUUCAAGAUAUCUGUAAGAAGUGAUAUGAGAUGCAAAUAUCUGUAGAUUUUUUAAUUGGAGAUACAGUCACAGCUACAGCUAAUAUUCCUAUGGUUUGACUAUCUAGGUUCACAAUUGCAAGAAAUGCUAAAUUUCAUCUCCGGGUCAGUGAAGGUAAAUAAAAUGGAGAAAUGUGGGCUUAAAGAGGAAAGCAGUUACGCGGAUGUAGAUCCAGGAGCUGGGAACUGAAAACAUUUCCCCAUCUUCCUGAAGCUAGAGUGCAGGCAUACGGCCGAAGCUUCUGACAAACAGAGGUAUCUGCCCAGGACUCGGAUGAGAAACAAGCAUCGAGACAGAAUUUGUGUCUUCUGGAGAGCAUGGAGGUGGAGCCACGUGGUUCUUCUGAGAAAACUGAGGUGGACUCUGGCAUGCUGUGUCCGACCUGCCGAGGGCAGCAGUAGCUCCCUAGAACCCCUGUGAAAAGCUAGAAAACUUUCAGCAAAAAUAGAAGAAACAUUACUUCUGUUUUUAUUGAUAAAGAACAGCAUAUGGGGGGGCGCAGAGCAAGAUGGCCGAAUAGGAACAGCUCCAGUCUCCAACUCCCAGCGCAAGCGACACAGAAGACCGGUGAUUUCUGCAUUUUCAACUGAGGUACUGGGGUCAUCUCACUGGGGAGUGCCGGACAAUCGGUGCUGGUCAGCUGCUGCAGCCUGACCAGCGAGAGCUGAAGCAGGGCGAGGCAUCACCUCACCUGGG
RNAcentral lists this long non-coding RNA (1228 nucleotides) under Rhinopithecus bieti (black snub-nosed monkey). RNAcentral's name for it is "lncRNA (ENSRBIG00000045732.1)". The record is from RNAcentral. Lineage: Eukaryota; Metazoa; Chordata; Mammalia; Primates; Cercopithecidae.